UACGUAGGGUGCAAGCGUUAAUCGGAAUUACUGGGCGUAAAGCGUGCGCAGGCGGUUGUGCAAGACAGAUGUGAAAAUCCCCGGGCUUAACCUGGGAAUUGCAUUUGUGACUGUACGGCUAGAGUGUGUCAGAGGGGGGUAGAAUUCCACGUGUAGCAGUGAAAUGCGUAGAGAUGUGGAGGAAUACCGAUGGCGAAGGCAGCCCCCUGGGAUAACACUGACGCUCAUGCACGAAAGCGUGGGGAGCAAACAGG
This 254-nucleotide ribosomal RNA is filed under the name uncultured bacterium. RNAcentral describes it as "partial 16S ribosomal RNA". It matches the Rfam family "Bacterial small subunit ribosomal RNA", at positions 524 to 776 of the family's 1533-position model. The record is from RNAcentral.